Molecule: long non-coding RNA, 2617 nt
Organism: Ailuropoda melanoleuca (giant panda)
Lineage: Eukaryota; Metazoa; Chordata; Mammalia; Carnivora; Ursidae
Exons: 3
Source: RefSeq, a predicted model, not a curated record
CUCAGCCAACAAAGUACAGUGGAGCAGCCCGGCUCAGCGCUUCUUGCAAAAUGAUUGGUCAAAGUUUUUCCGACUGCCUGAUAAAGCGUCAGCUCCGACAUAAAUCAAUCGGGCGAGGGGGCUGCGCUCUCGCUGUCAUCCGUCCGCACCGCAUUCCAUAUCGAGGAUGGAUUGUUUUAUGCUGAUGCAAUGUGCUAUCACGUCAGGGCUCCGGCGGCCACGUAACCUCAGCCCGAGCUGCCCGCCGCCCGCCCGCCCCCCCCCCUUUGCAGGAAGGGGGGUUGUUCUCGACAUGGGGCGGCGGGGGCGGAGGAGAGGCGGAGGGAAAGCAGCGGGCUGCCUCGGGAGGGAUGCAGGCUGUGGAGCCCUCUCCCCAGGCGGGUCCGGGAGGAAGAGAGGGAGAGCUGGGCAGAGGGAGGGAGAGAGCCAGCCUGGGGCGCAGACGGAGAGGCCCACUGCAUAAGAGGAGGUCGUCCUGCCCCCUCUACCUCAAACGCAUUGCCACUCCACCCCGCAGGCCUGGUUUCCUCUCCUCUGUCCCCUUUACAUAAGAUGUUUAUUAAACGGCAGUGCAGCGGCAAUCCACUGGAGAUGAAGUAAAGGGGAUGGGAGAGAAGUUGGGGGGUUUUAUAGGGCGUUAUCCGCUUUGGAGGGUUCUCUGUGACCAUGUUGGGAGGUUUACAAGCCUGGGAGCUUCUUCUGACCCCUCCGUAGCUGAGAGAGGAGAAAGGAGAAUAAAAAGGGCCUCUAGCCGUUUCCAGCACAGGAGCCGUGCCUGAACACAACUAGGGCCAAGAACUGGUGACUCGGAGAAAGGCAGGCAAGGGAGAGCUGCAACCCUUGGCCACACUGGGGCCCUGAGCAGCCAAGAGCGAGGCCGAGGUGGGGAGAGCAGAGGCCGACCCUGGCCAGGACCAGCCCAGCCGCACUGUUCCUGGGAGGGGGUGGCCAAGAGACGCCAGGGAUGGAAGACAGUCAGGCUCCAGGCUCCGGGUGGCUGGCAGGUUUGUGAGAGGCCCAGAGAGAAGUAAGGUAAGGCAGUAAGACACUUCAGACCACCUUCACCCAGGCUGGAGGACAAGAAAAUGUCAAGGAACAGCAUUGUUGGCCUUUGCCUACCAGGACAGUGGAUUGAAGGCUGCAUUUCUUCCAGAGCUGGGGGUGGGUCUCCCAAGGGCCCUUCCACUCCCAGCAGAUGCCCCUUAAUGAGAGACACCCCCCCCUUGAUGUCAGCUUGGCGCCGGAGCCCCAUCCGGUCGGGGCCUCUUUCCCGGCCCCUUUCCACAUUUCCUCUGCCUCAAGCAGGGGGGAAAAGUUUGGGAACAAAAGUUAGCUUAUGCUUUGGACCGGCCCCCUCCUUCCGCCAGUACUUCCAGUUUUUCCUUUCCUGGGCAGAGAGCCAGCAGCCUGAAAUGGGUUGGGGUCAAAGAGGAUAUCACAGCUUUGCCCCUGCCCUACCCCCCCCUGCUCCAUCUCCUGUCAGUCCCGUCUGGAAUGAACGGGCCCAACAGCCUGGGCUUCCCUUUAGCCUGCAGGCCAGGCCCCUCUCCCAGUGGGUGGCCCUUCAGACCUAGGUAACCCUUCAGUCCAGCCCCAGGGUGUAUGGGGAAGCCCUGGCCACUUUGUGGGAAGGAGCUGAGGGACUGGGAAAGGUAGAAUUUUUUCUGCCCCACCUCUGCCCCACUAGGGGGCCCUAGGAAGGACCCUGGAGGCCCUUAGGCUGAGGCUACAUGGGAUCCUGAUAUUUCUCUUUCAGAAUGGGACAAACUAAGCCCUCUUCAAGGACCUGAAGAACUGUUGAAGUGGAGUCCUUUCCCCCACCUCCCAGGGUUACAAAGACCUCAAGGACCUCCCUCUAUCUCUUGAAUUCAAGCAUUUGCCAAGUUGGAGAGACUGAUUCCGGGGAAAUCUAAAUGUAGACAGAAACCAAAGAUCCCAAGGCAGAAAGCUUAAAACCCCAACCACCAUUCUUUGGCUCUGUGGAACAGCCCAGCAAGGGGCCUCUGGCAAGUGGAAUGCUCCCCAUUCCCCCCUUUCCCUCCCAACAUGCACUUAAAAAACACAGAAGUGGAAAGACCCUAGAAACUUCCCAGAACUCUCCUCUGGGGAACGUCCUUGCUGCUUCUGGGUGAGGGACCUCAAACCUCUUCAUCCUUUUGCAAGGGUGACCCAGCCCUGACUCUGCUCCCCUACACAGCUCCCCACUCCUCCAGCUAAGCGGGGAGCAGUAACUGCCCUGAGUCCUGGUUUAAUGUCCUUGUGUUCAGAAAUCCAGGCCCAACAACACGAAACUACCUAAUUCACUCAGCAGCUCCAGUUCACGCACCAGGUCAAGGGCUCCCUGAGGGCAGGCCCCUGCACCCAACGGCUGGCCCGCUCACUCCCACUCUCCUCCACGGCUUCCCCAACAGAACCCAGCUGCUAGUAAACAACAUGUCUAAAGAACUGGAGGCAGGACUCCAGGAAAAACCAUUCUGGAGCUGGGCCUGGCAGCUCAGAUACCAGGGACUUUUUUUUGCUCUCUUCCAGGAGCCCUGGUGGAUGCGGACCCUAGGCCUGGGCAAGGCCUCACCGAUACACCUGCCUGGUCACCGCCUCUCGGCCUCCGUCUCCGCAG